UUUUUUUUUUUUUUUUUUUUUUUUUUUUGAGACGGAGUCUCGCUCUGUCACCAGGCUGGAGUGCAGUGGCACCAUCUCAGCUCACUGCAACCUCCGCCUCCCAUAUUCAAGCAAUUCUCCUGCCUCAGCCUUCCAAGUAACUGGGACUACAGGCAUGCACCACCACGCCCAGCUAAUUUUUCAUAUUUUUAGUAGAGACACGGUUUCACCAUGUUGGCCAGGCUGGUCUCGAACUCCUGACCUCAAGUGAUCCACCCACCUUGGCCUCCCAAAGUGCUGGGAUUACCAGCGUGAGCCACUGCGCCCAGCCAUUUGCCUAUUUUCUAAUUGAUUUUUUGUGUGUGUGUUGAAUUUUGAGAGCGCUUCCCAUCUUUGAGAUGUAAGUCCUUUGUCAGUUUUGUGAUUUGCAAAUAUUUUCUUCCAGUCCUUGGCUUGCCUUUUCCUCCUCUUAACAGGGUCUUUCACAGAGCAGACGUGUUCAGUUCUAACAAGGUCCAGUUUAUCCAUUUUCCCUUUUAUGGCUGGUGCUUUGCUGUCAGGUGUAGCAUGUUGGGUUCAGUGACUGGUGAGUGGUGUUCUGCUGGAAGAACGUGGUCGCUCUCUCCUCCCCGCCAUCCCACGCACUCAGCAGGGACUUUGGAUACCUUCUAGUUCAUCCUUGCAUUUGACAGCAGCCAUGUCCAAGGCCUGGAGACGUGCUUGGCUCACCCAGCAGGGGCGUGACAGCAUGAAGGCAAGAACCAAACCCCCCUCAGUCAACAUGAUUUCACGUCCCCAAACCCGUCUCAGGGUAACACUUGACCUUCAGUGUCAAGAUGAAAUGGACCCUGCAACCACACAGGUGAAUGAAAGAAAACGUUGGCGACAGCAGCCUGCUUUCCACAACCCGGCCCCAGGCCCAGGUGGUGGUGCUCAGCGGAGGAGCCUCAGUCAGGAGUGAAGGGUGCCAGGGAUGCCUCGCCAUGCCCUGUCACGGGCAGCUGCUGCGGUUGGAUCUGCCCUGGGAAGGGCAGGAGAGGGCACCUUGAUGGUCGGGUGCAAGAAGCUGCUGAGUCAGCAGAUCGCCCAGCCCUUCCCCACGUGUUCAAUCUCCUGGCCUCUGGGCUGCUUUCUCCACCUGGAACAUUCUGCCUCCAGAAAGCCACGCGGCUCAUUCUCUGACUUCCUCCAGGAAGCGACCUUUCUAGCUGGGCUGUCCCUGACCACUCAGAAUAAAAGUGUGCACGCCCCGCCCCUUCCUCCCCCAGCUCCUCCCCGUCCUUCUGAGCUCCCCGCACACUGCUGCUAACUCUCUUGUCAUCUGUCUCCCCCACAAGUGUCAGGUUCCACAGGGCAGGGGCAGCAUCUGUCUUGGAUGCUGCUCUAGGCCCUCGCACACAGCAGGUGUUCAAUGAAUACCUGCCGACUGGAAUGGAGUAAGAAUGCCAGGCCCAGGUUUCUGCUCUGCUCCUAAACUGGUGGCCUUGGGCCAGUAACUUGAUCCCUCUAAGCGUGGAUUCUACAGCUGUGAAUUUGGCCAGUGAGUCUAGCCCUCUGGUGUGGAAGUCCUGAACACCAAAUGUGUAUUGCACGGCCACUGUGUACAGGUGCUGGGUGCCGGGGUUACAGUUCACGUGUCAGACGAGCAGAGGAUCAGAGAGCAAAGCGCACCUUGUGUGCACAGGCAGAAGCGUGGAUGCCCUAGGGAAGUGCCCAUUCACGUGGGACCUGCUCCAUCUUCCAUGGAACGGGGAGACUCCUCAUGUCUCCCUGCUUACUCUGAGGAAAGGAUUCAGAGACAGGAAUCCA
Molecule: long non-coding RNA, 1788 nt
Organism: Macaca fascicularis (crab-eating macaque)
Lineage: Eukaryota; Metazoa; Chordata; Mammalia; Primates; Cercopithecidae
Source: Ensembl